GACAUUGCCCAUUUUGCAUUUCUUCUGAGUCGAAAGGCUAGCCUGAAGGACAAGGUGUUCCCCAGUCCUUCCAAGGCUCCCGUGGCCAAGGGGAAAGUCCAGUCUCCAGGGGCAGAGGAUGGGGCUGAGGCGAGUCCCAGCAAAGUUGCCAAAACCUGGACCUUCACUGAGAAGAACCGAGGGCCAAAGCACUCCUUUAGAGUCCGGGGCAGCGCCUCACGCCAAAACUCAGAGGUGCUGAUUGAAAUGCAGGAUGAAGACCAUGGACUGAAGAGUUCUCCAGGUUAGACAAGUCAUCAUGACAUGUCUUCAAUUUAGAUGGUGAUAUACUCUGUAAUGUCUAG
Molecule: long non-coding RNA, 344 nt
Filed under: Sander lucioperca (pikeperch)
Lineage: Eukaryota; Metazoa; Chordata; Actinopteri; Perciformes; Percidae
Description: lncRNA (ENSSLUG00000025107.1)
Source: RNAcentral